ACGGGGGGGGCAAGCGUUGUUCGGAAUUACUGGGCGUAAAGGGCUCGUAGGCGGCCAACUAAGUCAGACGUGAAAUCCCCAGGCUCAACCUGGGAACUGCGUCUGAUACUGGAUGGCUUGGAUCCGGAAGAGGGAUGCGGAAUUCCAGGUGUAGCGGUGAAAUGCGUAGAUAUUGGGAGGAACACCAGUGGCGAAGGCGGCUCACUGGACUGGUACUGACGCUGAGGCGCGAAAGCGUGGGGAGCAAACGGGA
RNAcentral lists this ribosomal RNA (253 nucleotides) under uncultured prokaryote. RNAcentral describes it as "partial 16S ribosomal RNA". It matches the Rfam family "Bacterial small subunit ribosomal RNA", at positions 525 to 777 of the family's 1533-position model. The record is from RNAcentral.